UACGUAGGGCGCAAGCGUUAUCCGGAAUUAUUGGGCGUAAAGAGCUCGUAGGCGGUUUGUCGCGUCUGCCGUGAAAGUCCGGGGCUCAACUCCGGAUCUGCGGUGGGUACGGGCAGACUAGAGUGAUGUAGGGGAGACUGGAAUUCCUGGUGUAGCGGUGAAAUGCGCAGAUAUCAGGAGGAACACCGGUGGCGAAGGCGGGUCUCUGGGUAACAACUGACGCUGAGGAGCGAAAGCGUGGGGAGCGAACAGG
RNAcentral lists this ribosomal RNA (253 nucleotides) under uncultured bacterium. Its description in RNAcentral is "partial 16S ribosomal RNA". It matches the Rfam family "Bacterial small subunit ribosomal RNA", at positions 524 to 776 of the family's 1533-position model. The record is from RNAcentral.